UACGAAGGCCCCAAGCGUUAUCCGGAAUUACUGGGCGUAAAGCGUCUGUAGGUGGUCUUUUAAGUCUUACCGUGAAACUUCGGGGCUCAACCCCGAAUUGCGGGAGAAACUGGGAGACUUGAGUGUGGGAGAGGGAAGCAGAACGGUAAGAGUAGGGGUGCAAUCCGUUGAUACUUACCAGAAUACCAAAAGCGAAGGCAGCUUCCUGGAACACUACUGACACUGAGAGACGAAAGCGUGGGGAGCAAAAGGG
RNAcentral lists this ribosomal RNA (253 nucleotides) under uncultured bacterium. Its description in RNAcentral is "partial 16S ribosomal RNA". It matches the Rfam family "Bacterial small subunit ribosomal RNA", at positions 524 to 776 of the family's 1533-position model. The record is from RNAcentral.